This is a non-coding RNA of Oryza brachyantha (malo sina), 95 nucleotides long. The record is from Rfam. Lineage: Eukaryota; Viridiplantae; Streptophyta; Magnoliopsida; Poales; Poaceae.
UGCUUGGUGACUCCUACAAGGAUGGUAUCUGAGUAAGGUGGCUCUUGAAUGAGCUUACCUGAUUACAUCCAAUACUUAAAUAUUUGGAGCAAGCA